CCAAUAGCGUAUAUUAAAGUUGUUGCAGUUAAAAAGCUCGUAGUUGAAUUUCGGGAUCAAUACGUCGGUCGUGCCUUCGGUAUGUACUGGCGUUGUUGGUUUCUCCUUUCUGAGGAGCCAUGAUGCCAUUAAUUUGGUGUCGUGGGGAAUCAGGACUGUUACUUUGAAAAAAUUAGAGUGUUUAAAGCAGGCACACGCUUGAAUACAUUAGCAUGGAAUAAUGAAAUAGGACGUUCGAUUCUAUUUUGUUGGUUUCUAGGAUCAACGUAAUGAUUAAUAGGGAUAGUUGGGGGCAUUAGUAUUCAAUUGUCAGAGGUGAAAUUCUUGGAUUUAUUGAAGACUAACUACUGCGAAAGCAAUUGCCAAGGAUGUUUUCAUUAAUCAAGAACGAAAGUUAGGGGAUCGAAGACGAUCAGAUACCGUCGUAGUCUUAACCAUAAACUAUGCCGACUAGGGAUCGGAUGAUGUUAAUUUUUUAAUGACUCAUUCGGCGCCUUACG
This 500-nucleotide ribosomal RNA is filed under the name uncultured Glomeromycotina. RNAcentral's name for it is "partial small subunit ribosomal RNA". It matches the Rfam family "Eukaryotic small subunit ribosomal RNA", at positions 591 to 1092 of the family's 1831-position model. Lineage: Eukaryota; Fungi; Glomeromycota. The record is from RNAcentral.